CAUGCAAGUCGAGGGGUAACAGGGAGAGCUUGCUUUCUGCUGACGACCGGCGCACGGGUGCGUAACGCGUAUACAAUCUACCUUAUACUGGGGUAUAGCCUUUAGAAAUGAAGAUUAAUCCCCCAUAGUCUCUUUUUGUGGCAUCACUAAAGGAGUAAAGGUUACGGUAUAAGAUGAGUAUGCGUUCUAUUAGUUUGUUGGUGUGGUAACGGCACACCAAGACUACGAUAGAUAGGGGCCCUGAGAGGGGGAUCCCCCACACUGGUACUGAGACACGGACCAGACUCCUACGGGAGGCAGCAGUGAGGAAUAUUGGACAAUGGAGGCAACUCUGAUCCAGCCAUGCCGCGUGUAGGAUGACUGCCCUAUGGGUUGUAAACUACUUUUAUACAGGAAGAAACACCUCUACGUGUAGAGGCUUGACGGUACUGUAAGAAUAAGGAUCGGCUAACUCCGUGCCAGCAGCCGCGGUAAUACGGAGGAUCCAAGCGUUAUCCGGAAUCAUUGGGUUUAAAGGGUCCGUAGGUUGAUAAUUAAGUCAGAGGUGAAAUCUUGCAGCUCAACUGUAAAAUUGCCUUUGAUACUGAUUAUCUUGAGUUAUUAUGAAGUAGUUAGAAUAUGUAGUGUAGCGGUGAAAUGCAUAGAUAUUACAUAGAAUACCAAUUGCGAAGGCAGAUUACUAAUAAUCAACUGACACUGAUGGACGAAAGCGUGGGUAGCGAACAGGAUUAGAUACCCUGGUAGUCCACGCCGUAAACGAUGGUUACUAGCUGUGUGGAUUUCGGUCUGCGUGGCUAAGCGAAAGUGAUAAGUAACCCACCUGGGGAGUACGUUCGC
RNAcentral lists this ribosomal RNA (837 nucleotides) under uncultured Bacteroidota bacterium. Its description in RNAcentral is "bacterial SSU rRNA". It matches the Rfam family "Bacterial small subunit ribosomal RNA", at positions 54 to 889 of the family's 1533-position model. The record is from RNAcentral. Lineage: Bacteria; Pseudomonadati; Bacteroidota.